Molecule: long non-coding RNA, 1272 nt
Filed under: Setaria viridis
Lineage: Eukaryota; Viridiplantae; Streptophyta; Magnoliopsida; Poales; Poaceae
Description: long non-coding RNA (SVIR_LNC011427)
Source: RNAcentral
CAAGUCACAGCUCUCAAGCACGCUCUAGCAAUCAAGUUCAGCAGAGCACUGUGCACACGUUACACACACAAAGCUGCCGGCGGCCGACGAGCCCAGCUAGCGGUCGACAUGGCCAGGGCGUCAGUCCUUGUCGUCCUUUCCCUCGUGCUCGCCACCUUGCUUGCCACUGCCAACGCCCAAGAUUACACGGCGGCGGCACCGAGCCCAUUACCGGACAGCCCGUCUCCUCCUCCGCCACCGCCACAGGAUUAUUCGCCUCCUCCUACGUCACAGCCACCGGUGUCAUCCCCGCCUCCACCUUCACCGCCACCGCCGGAGUCAUACCCACCUCCACCUUCGCCACCGCCGCCGGCGUCGUACCCGCCGCCUCCUUCACCACCUCCACCGGCGUCGUACCCGCCGCCACCACCGGCGUCAUCCCCGCCUCCACCUUCACCGCCGCCGCCGGAGUCAUACCCACCUCCACCUUCGCCACCGCCGCCGGCGUCGUACCCGCCGCCUCCUUCACCACCUCCACCGGCGUCGUACCCGCCUCCACCUUCGCCGCCACCACCGGCGUCAUCCCCGCCUCCACCUUCACCGCCGCCACCGGCGCGAUCCCCGCCGCCUCCUCCCCCUUCUCCUCCACCGCCGCCACCGGCGUCCAACUGGACUCCCGUGGCGAACGUGAACGACCCGGCGAUCCAGCAGGUGGCGCAGUUCGCCGUGCGCAUCUACGCGCUCAGCACCAAGGAGCUCAAGAUGCAGCUGCUGAGCGUCAUCAGCGGCGAGACCCAGCCGUGCGACGGCGGGUACAACUACCGGCUGGUCAUCACAGUGACCGGCGGCAAGAAGACGCAGUACGACGCCUUCGUCUGGGGCAUCCUGGGGACCAUGUCGUGGAAGCUCUGGUCAUUCACGCCCCAUGUGUAAAAUUAAACGAGCCCCAUGGCACGCAUGCUGACUUCAUGCACGCAUGCACACUGGCAAGGAGAAACCAUGCAUACCAGCAUAACGUCUAGUUUGAUCAUUGCUUAGUUUCAGAGAAUCCUUUUUUUCAUCGUUAUUUUGGUUAGUUUGUAGUAGAAGAGUUUUCUUAUACUUUUGCUGUUCAGAAUGCAUCAUGCAUAUUAUUGUACUUCUCUCCUAUCUUUUCCUCUAGCAAUAAAAUCACAUAUUUUGUGUAUUAUCCGGCUCAAAAUCUCCUACUGUCUUGUAGAGAUGUUUAAUUACAUGCAUUACUUUUUUAAGAGAGAAAUACGUGCACCACUCCAGGUAUCAUUUACUCACUCC